GAUGAACGCUGGCGGCGUGCCUAAUACAUGCAAGUCGAGCGAACAGACGAGGAGCUUGCUCCUCUGACGUUAGCGGCGGACGGGUGAGUAACACGUGGAUAACCUACCUAUAAGACUGGGAUAACUUCGGGAAACCGGAGCUAAUACCGGAUAAUAUAUUGAACCGCAUGGUUCAAUAGUGAAAGACGGUUUUGCUGACACUUAUAGAUGGAUCCGCGCCGCAUUAGCUAGUUGGUAAGGUAACGGCUUACCAAGGAAACGAUGCGUAGCCGACCUGAGAGGGUGAUCGGCCACACUGGAACUGAGACACGGUCCAGACUCCUACGGGAGGCAGCAGUAGGGAAUCUUCCGCAAUGGGCGAAAGCUUGACGGAGCCACGCCGCGUGAGUGAUGAAGGUCUUCGGAUCGUAAAGCUCUGUUAUUAGGGAAGAACAAAUGUGUAAGUAACUAUGCACGUCUUGACGGUACCUAAUCAGAAAGCCACGGCUAACUACGUG
Molecule: ribosomal RNA, 497 nt
Filed under: uncultured bacterium
Lineage: Bacteria
Description: partial 16S ribosomal RNA
Rfam family: Bacterial small subunit ribosomal RNA
Source: RNAcentral